Parus major (Great Tit) is the source of this 6813-nucleotide long non-coding RNA. RefSeq lists it as uncharacterized. NCBI's taxonomy places the organism in Eukaryota, Metazoa, Chordata, Aves, Passeriformes, Paridae. The record is from RefSeq and is a predicted model, not a curated record. The transcript has 3 exons.
UAGAUGAAAAUAUUCUUGAAGAGGAAAUGCAUUUCUAAAGUGUUGUCAAUGUCAAAGCAAGGAUGGAGGUAAAAAUUAUCUCUGAAUUUAGUAUUUCUAUUCAGAAAAUUCCCCAGAGGGAAAGAAACUUGCAGAGAGCACUGAUAAUGCAUAAAUACCUAUGCUGAUUCAAAGAAUGAUCUUGGAGAUCGGAUGCAUAUUAUGGUUUGUGGAAGGUCAUAUUUGCUUUAAGUUACUUUAUUUCUCCUUGUACUGAUAAAUUCCUGCAUGGGUGUGAAGGAACUGAAACUCUGUUUCCCUGUGAGCUUCCCUUUCCAGUCUUGGUUUAGAUCAAUAAUCAGUGCAUGAACAGGGGUUUUGAUCAUUCUCUGUCCUAAUGGAACUUGUUUCCACAAGGCACGCUCUUCUGCUUCCUUCAUCCAUAUGCUGAAGAUCUACACAGAUAUUGUACAUACAGGAAUACACAGGGAGAUUAAUCUGUUAAUUGUGCCCAUGUUCUUAAGCACAUAGCAUUGUUUUGCUCUACAAAUUGUGUAUUCUUUAGCGUUUUAUAAAAUUGAUCAAAGUAGAUAAUCAAAUUACCAAAAAAUUUUUGGCCGCUACCAAAAAAAAGCCUAUGAAUACAUCAAAGAGUAGUAGAAUGCAUCAGGAUACAUAUCUGUGAAUAAAAUGUUCUGAAAAGGCUCAGAGUAUUUCUUGUGGAGGGACAGUAAAAUGCUUACAUGGUGAGAACUGAAAAUCAAGGUUCAGUAUGCUGGAGAGCAUUCAGAGAAACUGAGGGAAGUUUUCAAUGCUGAAAAAGGGCUGGAGAAGGAGAUCAAAUCAGUGGUAAGUGGAAAGCUGGUGAGUAGAUAGGAUUAAUCAAAUUGCCAGUAAAUUUCAGUAACUCACAAUAGAUUUCUACUGAGGUAGAAAGUAAUAUCAAACUCAGAUGGAAUGAUGAAUAAAAAUGCAGUGUGAACAUAACAUAUGGAAAUUGUAAAGGGGAUUGUUAUAUCAGAAUGAAGUACAUUGUCAAAUGUACCUGUUGAUACUGGUUUUUACUUACAGUGACCAAAAAAAGAAUAUUUUGGUAGGUUAUCUGCUUACAGGUUUUUCAUAUCAUGUAGCAGCUCUGGGGAACAGUAGCAUCAAGGACAGGUAGGAAGUCCCUGUGGCUCUACCAAAUUGGAAUUUUCCCUUCAGCUGUUAAAUAUUUUAUUCUAAUAUUUGAUUCUGAGUUUAAUACUCAGAAUGUCUCUUGGGACAUAAUUUCAUUUUCUGUCUUUAUAUACUCUCCCCAAAAUGUGGGAAUAUUUGUACUGUGAGAGAAACAAACAUGAAAGAACAAGGUUGAAUACUGAAGGCAUCUGUUGCUCUCAGUAGGAAUAGAAUCCCGAGGGAAUGGAUGAUCUAGCUGAGCUAAUACAAAUUGUGAACUAUGACACAUUCAUUAAAAAGAAACCUCAGAUAGGAUUCUAACUUCAGAUGCUCUGGGAAAAAAGUCCUGGACCUGCAAUAUUAAGCUAAUUAUGGAAUGAAUAUUUAUUUAUCUCUUUCGAUCAGCUGUUUCUUUUAACAUUGUGUUCUGAGACUUGGCUUAGGAGUCUGUGUCCAUUGUGUCUCCAGUUGCCAUCUUCUGGCUACUCCUUACUUUUAUCACAGGCUGAAAUGUAAUUUCACAAAGCUUACACAUCAGCAUUCUUGCUUAGUUUUCAAAUUCUCCUCAAUUUUGGAAAUACGCAUAAGAUUUGUUAAACUUAAUGCUGAAAUAAAAUCGUAUUUACUGCAGGUUAGAAAAAUGAAUUUCAAGUAGGAAUACUUUGAAUAACAUAAGUGUCCUUCCUUCUCCACAGGCUGGACUGAAUAAGAUAAAACACAAUAAGAAUUGAGAUAAGUGUUUCUUUCAAAGCAGUCUUCUUUUUCUUUAUUGUUGGAUGCAUUUCUUACUCUUCUUUGCACCCAGUUUUUAAAUGCUACUAGUUUAGGUUGAAAUGAGCACUUCUGUGUCUUUAUGAUUCUCUCCUAAGACUUGAAAUUUCAUUUCUGGAUUGGUCACAGUUUGUAAUUCCUGCUGAGUUUUUUUUUUUUUUGUUUGGCUCUCCCCACCUCCAGCUUUGAUAUCUGGAAAGGUAAAUUAAAACCGCUCAGUAAUUUUUGCAUAUCUACUUUUAUAAAAUUUCAAUAAAUUAUAUUUUCCCUGAACUUCAAAUCUGUUCUUUUGAAGCUGGCAUGAUUACUUACAUAACAUGCUUGGGAAGUAAUUCUGGGGUCAGUCCUGAUAUACUGUCAAUUAUAAUACUCUGCUCCAGUAGCUUGUGACCAUACUGUCAUUAAUGGGAAACACUAUCUUUUCUCCUACAGAGUCUUUUGUUCUCUUAAUGUGCAAUUUUAUCUAAGUUCAAACCCCCUUGAAAAGGGUGGGAGGAGGAAGAAAAGCUGAUGUAGUUGUCUCAUAUAGCAAAAUACAGGCCUAUGCCAUCGAUAAAGGACUCUUUGUUUGCUGCAAGUCUAGGUGCUUUCAGUUCUAGCCACAGACUUCAAAUCAAAAUGUGAAUGAGAAGUGCAGGGAAGGGUGGUUUCCUCCUGUCUCCCUUUCAGUACAGGUCUUAGGGCUGAGCUUGGAAGCAGUGAUGUGAAGGGUUGGCAGAGGGAGAGGUAGGAGUGCUUUACCUAAAUUCAGCAGCAAGGAUGGCAUUAAUAGCAAAUUGGUUUGAACAAGCUACACAAAUUGUUUGGAUUAAGAGGUCCAAGUCAUCUUAGUCACACAUGAGAGUGGAUAUCCCAGAAAGACCUUUUCAGCUCUGUGUUUCCAAUUUAACUUUUCUGGAUUCAAAUGUCAUAAUUUCUAUCUAUGCAUCACGGUCCUUCAGUUUCUACUUGUGUGUACAAAUGGUUGUGAAGCUGAUGGUCUAAUAAUUGUUGGGAUCUUGGAGGAAAUAUUCUUUCUCUCUAGUUACAGCAUAAGCAGGAGAGUUUUUUUUGUUGUUGCUCUUAGGUUGGGGGUUUUGUUUGUUUUAUUUCCCAAGAAGCUUCUGCAUGAGACAUCAGCAAGUGUUUUGGUUCUGUGUCUCAGAGCCCGUGGCCAUGCCAGCAGUGGUUUGUGGCUGUGAAUCAAGAUUACAACUGCAAACAAACAGGACUUCAGACCUUCAUAAGCUCAGUUUGAGCCAAUGGUCUUUUUUACAGCUAAUAGCACAAUAAAGACUAAUAGUUUACAAUCAGAAGUGGAAUUGCGUUGUGAUGGCAGUUGAAACCCUUGCCAGAGAAAAUGGUUCUCAUUUUCUUUUAUUUCUGAAACUCCGCUAAGUUGUUGUUCCAGUCCUGCUUUUCUCAUUGACACUUUGUCCUCAAAUUUAGAAACUUUAGGCAUCAUGUUUCCUGGUUAAUAGGAUUUCACUGCAGUCUAAUGUUACUGUGUGUUCUGCAAGUAAAGAAGAAGAAGAAAAAAUCCAAACCACAACCCCCCACAAAAAACUUGUCUAGUGUUUUUUAUUCUAUAACCCACUUCUUUACAUAGCUCUACUAAAACAACUUUUUUUUUUAUUUUUAUAUCACUCAAUUAAACUCUACCAUUAAACUAGCACACUGAGUUAUCAAAAAGAAAAAAGAAAAAAGAGGAAGAUAAUUUUUGUUCUCUUCAAAAUGAUGGGGAAGCCAAUUCUUUUAAUGCAUCUUGUUAUUACAAUUUUAAAAUACGGGAAACUAUUUAAACCCCCAAAUAGAAGGAACUACCUGUCUAUUGUAUGUGUUAAUGCAGGAAAUAUGCCUUUUAGUUUUUCAGGUUUGAUGGGACAUUCAGAUUGCAAGAAUGACAAAAAUCUGUCUUGCCAAGGAGUCUGAGCCAUGAAAUUUUUGGAAAGCCAAAGUAUUAUAGGGUGACUUGUGUUUUGUCUCUGAAAUUCAGCAAAAAGUUGACUUUUAACUUCUUUACUUUUUUUUUUUUCUUUUUUUUUAAUUGCAGGGGAAAUCCACUGUGGUUUCAUUGAAAUUUAAAGCAUUUUCCUGAUAUGCACUUUCUGAUAGCCAGGGCUGCAUAAGUAUACUUCUUGGCAAAUUAUUUCAAGGUCAUUUUUUUACCAACCUCAUACAGUCACAGCUCUUUUAAAAAUCAUCUUUUCUUCAAUAUGGAUUAUUCCUGCAAUCCUGGGUUUUCUGAGAAGUCUUUGUUGUUAGAAUUAGAGUUCUCAGAGUAUGCAUAUGUUUACAGGAAGUCAUAAUCAUGCUUGACUUUGACAUUCCUCUUCAGCCUUAAGUGCAGAGCAAGUGUUUUGUAUAUAGAACAAAAUAAAAUUGCUAGAAAAACACCAAAGGUUCAGUGUUGCUUUCUGAAGGAUCCUUAUAUUUUUUGCUUGAAAAAUGUCUUAAUUAUUUGAUUGCUUAUGCUUUUGUUUUCUGUAAUGUUUUUGUUACAACUUUUAUAAUCUCUUUUUAAAAACUCCAUAUCUGAAUUUUCACCACCAAAAUCUUUGUGCCAUUUAAAAUGAUACCCUUCAAACCCAAGGGAAAUGGCAGGAGGAAUUUUUGCACUUGGUUUAAGCUAACAAAAGAAGAUCAUUAAAAUUUGAUCACCUUCUUUUUAAAUAAAGAACUGCUGAAAAAGGAAAAGCAAUUGCUCCUGGAAGACCAGAUUUAUUUUUUUUUUAAUUUUAUUUUUUAUAUCAGUUGGUGAUAACUCUCCACUAAAUUACCUAGUAAAGGACCUGAGAAAGAUAAGCUUUUUAAACUCUUCUUAGAAGAAAAUGAGCUCUGUAUGUGUCCACAGAAGUAAACUAGUUCUGUGUUUCAAUGGAUGGUAGUGGUUCUCAAAGUUCAUGUUCUGGGAAAAAAAACAGAACAGGAGGUUCAGGAUGAGGCAGAGGAAGGGCCCAGCCCAAUAGUUUACCUUUAAGAACUAAGGACUGUAUAUAAAUUCUGUUUUCCUCCAUUCACGUACAUUAACCACUUCAGUGAUAGCAAUGUCUUGCAUGAUUUAAGGUGAGAAUUGGUUUACUUCUUGUCUGUGGGCAGGUAUGUGCAUUUUGGUGACCUGUGUGAACUGCAGGCUCACAAUGGUGCAGUUCUGGGAAAUCCUUCUCACACUGCUGAGCAGGUUCAGCAGAUGGCAUUGCUCCUAAAUGAUGACCUUGAGACCAACUUUUGAUGAAAAGUCACAAGUGGGAAAGCAAACUGCAAACAGAUUCUUAUGCUAAGAGAAAGUUUUGUGCAUGAAAUCUUGCAUGGACAAGAGAGAGAACAUGCUUAACCUGAUCCAUUAUAUUUACAAAGCCAUGAAUUUAUUCUUUGCUUAUUUAAAAUAUUAAUAGUGUAAAUAGAAUUUUAAAAAAUAUUCUAAUUGCAGUAGUAUCAACAGCUCAUAUGGAUAUGAGAUAUCAUAGUGUGACAACUUAAUGACUAGAGACAUUCAGGAAAAAAUUUGGCUUGCAUAUCAUCCUCCCCUAGACAGUAUUGUAAUCUUCCCUGAUACUGUAGGAUGUUUUGAAAUAAGAUGUCCUCAUAUUGAUACUGUUGUGCUUUUAUAGAUCACUUGCAAGGCAGUCACACAAACUACUCCUGGAUUCUUCCCCGGUGUUUUUUUUUCUCAAAAGAUGGAAUGUUCCAAAGAAGCCAAAGCAAUAUCUGCUAAAAUAAUGAGAAAACAAGUUAUAUCUGAAGACAUCAUAUGAAGUAGUCUAGAUAAUGAUAAGGUCCAGCAAAACAUGGGUGUGAUACCCUCUGAUUCAUAUCCCUGAUGACCAUCUCCUGCCUGAAGCACAAAUGACUUCUGUGAUGAAUGACUCUCAUCGUGCUGCAUCCACUUGAAUAAUGAUGGUGAACUUGAGACACCUCAGUGCACAAUACUGUCAAGUCAAGAAGUAUAAGUCCACGGAAGAGCUAUUGAAAUAAAUACAGUAGGGACUGUGAUUUAAGAGGACCCUUACUUUUAUGACAGGCAAGGAGCAACUGACAAGAGAUCUGCUGAUGGCCAUCUACUUGUGGCAGCUGUUUAUUAUGAUCUGCUGUAAACAUCUUGCUGCUACCUUGUGCUCGCCCAUCUGUUUGUUUCUGCCCAUCUGUUACUGGUUGCCAUGUGCUUAGGUUGUAAAUAUCACUAUUGCUUGAAAUAAAAAGGUUAAAAAUCCUUUGAUUAAAAAAAAAAAAAAUCAGUUAUUGAAUUCAGUAUUUGCAUUAAGAAAAAAAAAAAGCUCUUACAAGCCUCUGGAGUCAACAUUGAGGAAACUCUGUACAGGUUUUCUAUGCUCCUGGAAAACUUCCUGUGGUUACCCUUUCUGAUGAGGUUGAAGCAUUUAAUUGAGUUGAUUUUUGUUGUAAGAUUUCAAUUUGCUUUUAGUCAAUAACAAGGGCUAGUUCAGGAGGAAAUUUUGUUUUUUGAAGUCAGAGGAUUGUGUGCAAAUGAAAGAGGCAAAUUGCCUGCAGGAAGCCAAUCAACUUGUGCUCUGUAUAUGUCACUUCAGCUUCUGCUGGAGUUUUUUAUUCCCAGACUAGCAAAUUUAUAUUUGGCAUGCACUGUCAUCCUUAUUCUAUAGAUUUCUUCUCAUCAAAUAUUUGUGAUGGCUUUUUUUUUUUUUAUUUUAUUUUUUUUGUCUCUCUAAACUAUUAUAUGUGCUUUUGGCAUUUGAGUCUUUGCCAUUGUUACUUAAUAUGACAACAGUCACAUUUAAUUUCUUUUGGAAUGUUUUAAGAAAUGUUUUUUCUAUGUAUUUUUUUUUUAAAUAAAAUCUGUAUUUAGUAACUACUUCUCUCUCAAAACAUAACUAUCAUGCUAGAUACUUCAGCAUUAUUCACCAUUUUAUGCCAGUCCAUUGCAGUGGUCAUUUCUGAGACAUGCAUUGC